CCUACGGGUGGCAGCAGUGAGGAAUAUUGGUCAAUGGACGCAAGCCUGAACCAGCCAUGCCGCGUGCAGGAAGACGGCUCUAUGAGUUGUAAACCUCUUUUGUCGGAGGACAAACGCCGGUACGCGUCUCUGUCUGAGAGUAUCGUACGAAUAAGGAUCGGCUAACUCCGUGCCAGCAGCCGCGGUAAUACGGAGGAUUCAAGCGUUAUCCGGAUUUAUUGGGUUUAAAGGGUGCGUAGGCGGUGCGAUAAGUUAGAGGUGAAAUGCCGGGGCUCAACUUCGGAAUUGCCGCUGAGACUGUUCGACUAGAGAGGGGUAGAGGUAGGCGGAAUGUGUGGUGUAGCGGUGAAAUGCAUAGAGAUCAUACAGAACACCGAUUGCGAAGGCAGUGUACCGAGCCAAUACUGACGUUGAGGCACGAAAGCGUGGGGAGCAAACAGGAUUAGAUACCCUAGUAGUC
RNAcentral lists this ribosomal RNA (460 nucleotides) under uncultured bacterium. Its description in RNAcentral is "partial 16S ribosomal RNA". It matches the Rfam family "Bacterial small subunit ribosomal RNA", at positions 338 to 795 of the family's 1533-position model. The record is from RNAcentral.